AGUGAACGCUGGCGGUAGGCCUAACACAUGCAAGUCGAACGGCAGCACAGUAAGAGCUUGCUCUUACGGGUGGCGAGUGGCGGACGGGUGAGGAAUACAUCGGAAUCUACUUUUUCGUGGGGGAUAACGUAGGGAAACUUACGCUAAUACCGCAUACGACCUACGGGUGAAAGCAGGGGAUCUUCGGACCUUGCGCGAUUGAAUGAGCCGAUGUCGGAUUAGCUAGUUGGCGGGGUAAAGGCCCACCAAGGCGACGAUCCGUAGCUGGUCUGAGAGGAUGAUCAGCCACACUGGAACUGAGACACGGUCCAGACUCCUACGGGAGGCAGCAGUGGGGAAUAUUGGACAAUGGGCGCAAGCCUGAUCCAGCCAUACCGCGUGGGUGUAGAAGGCCUUCGGGUUGUAAAGCCCUUUUGUUGGGAAAGAAAAGCAGCAGGUUAAUACCCCGCUGUUCUGACGGUACCCAAAGAAUAAGCACCGGCUAACUUCGU
This 491-nucleotide ribosomal RNA is filed under the name uncultured bacterium. RNAcentral's name for it is "partial 16S ribosomal RNA". It matches the Rfam family "Bacterial small subunit ribosomal RNA", at positions 29 to 506 of the family's 1533-position model. The record is from RNAcentral.